AUUGAACGCUGGCGGCAUGCCUUACACAUGCAAGUCGAACGGUAACAGGUCUUCGGAUGCUGACGAGUGGCGAACGGGUGAGUAAUACAUCGGAACGUGCCUAGUAGUGGGGGAUAACUACUCGAAAGAGUGGCUAAUACCGCAUGAGAUCUACGGAUGAAAGCAGGGGAUCGCAAGACCUUGUGCUACUAGAGCGGCCGAUGGCAGAUUAGGUAGUUGGUGGGAUAAAAGCUUACCAAGCCGACGAUCUGUAGCUGGUCUGAGAGGACGAUCAGCCACACUGGGACGGAGACACGGCCCAGACUCCCACGGGAGGCAGCAGUAGGGAAUUUUGGACAAUGGGCGCAAGCCUGAUCCAGCAAUGCCGCGUGCAGGAUGAAGGCCUUCGGGUUGUAAACUGCUUUUGUACGGAACGAAAAGCCCUGGGUUAAUACCCUGGGGUCAUGACGGUACCGUAAGAAUAAGCACCGGCUAACUACGUGCCAGCCGCCGCGGUAA
Molecule: ribosomal RNA, 498 nt
Filed under: uncultured bacterium
Lineage: Bacteria
Description: partial 16S ribosomal RNA
Rfam family: Bacterial small subunit ribosomal RNA
Source: RNAcentral